Molecule: ribosomal RNA, 1456 nt
Filed under: uncultured Verrucomicrobiales bacterium
Lineage: Bacteria; Pseudomonadati; Verrucomicrobiota; Verrucomicrobiia; Verrucomicrobiales
Description: SSU rRNA
Rfam family: Bacterial small subunit ribosomal RNA
Source: RNAcentral
ACGCUAGCGGCGUGGAUAAGACAUGCAAGUCGAGCGAUGAUCCAACGAUAGCAAUAUUGGAGGGGAUUAGCGGCGAACGGGUGAGUAACACGUAGGAAUCUGCCCUGAAGUUUGGAAUAGCCCGGUGAGAGCCGGGAUAAUACCGGAUGUGAUCUUCGGAUUAAAGGCCUUCGGGUCGCUUCAGGAUGAGCCUGCGCUCCAUCAGCUUGUUGGUAGGGUAAAAGCCUACCAAGGCGAGGACGGAUAGCUGGUCUGAGAGGACGGCCAGCCACAAUGGAACUGAGACACGGUCCAUACACCUACGGGUGGCAGCAGUCGAGAAUCAUUCACAAUGGGCGAAAGCCUGAUGGUGCGACGCCGCGUGGGGGAUGAAGGCCUUCGGGUCGUAAACCCCUGUCGGUUGCGAGUAAGGCCCGGCUUACGUCGGGAUUGAUAUUAGCAACAAAGGAAGGGGCGGCUAACUCCGUGCCAGCAGCCGCGGUAAUACGGAGGCCCCAAGCGUUGUUCGGAUUUACUGGGCGUAAAGCGUGCGUAGGCGGCGAGGUAAGUUUGGCGUGAAAGCCCCGGGCCCAACCCGGGAAAUGUGCUGGAAACUACUUCACUAGAGGUGUGGAGGGGAGUCUGGAAUUCCUGGUGUAGCAGUGAAAUGCGUAGAUAUCAGGAGGAACAUCAGUGGCGAAGGCGAGACUCUGGAAACAUUCUGACGCUGAGGUACGAAGGCUAGGGGAGCGAAGAGGAUUAGAUACCCUCGUAGUCCUAGCAGUAAACGGUGUGCACUUGCUGUGGGGGGAUUCGACCCCUUCCGUGGCGAAGCUAACGCAUUAAGUGCACCGCCUGGGGAGUACGGCCGCAAGGUUAAAACUCAAAGAAAUUGACGGGGGCCUGCACAAGCGGUGGAGCAUGUGGCUUAAUUCGAUGCAACGCGAAGAACCUUACCUGGGCUUGACAUGUUUGUCGUACCUGAGUGAAAGCUCGGGGUCAGUUCGGCUGGACAAUCACAGGUGCUGCAUGGCUGUCGUCAGCUCGUGUCGUGAGAUGUUGGUUUAAGUACCGCAACGAGCGCAACCCCUGUGUCCUGUUGCCACGGAGAACACGUUUCUCCAGCACUCUGGACAGACUGCCCCAUUUUUAGUGGGGAGGAAGGUGGGGAUGACGUCAAGUCAGUAUGGCCCUUACGCCCAGGGCUGCACACGUGCUACAAUGCCCGGCAUAAUGGGAAGUGAAAUCGCGAGAUGGAGCCAAUCCCCAAAACCGGGCCCAGUUCGGAUUGGAGUCUGCAACUCGACUCCAUGAAGUUGGAAUCGCUAGUAACGGCGCAUCAGCUACGGCGCCGUGAAUACGUUCCUGAGCCUUGUACACACCGCCCGUCAAGUCAUGGAAGCUGGUAGUGCGUUAAGUCGCCGAGAUUCAUCGGUGCCCACCGCAAGACUGGUGACUGGGACUAAGUCGUAACAAG